GCCUGCAACCGGCGCUUUGCAACUCUCACAUGGUCGCCCACUGAAGCUAAGCAGGGCUGCGCCCAGUCAGUACCUGGAUGGGAGACCACAUAGGAACACUAGGCUGCUGUUGGCA
This is a ribosomal RNA of Danio rerio (zebrafish), 115 nucleotides long. Lineage: Eukaryota; Metazoa; Chordata; Actinopteri; Cypriniformes; Danionidae. The record is from Ensembl.